Molecule: ribosomal RNA, 253 nt
Filed under: uncultured bacterium
Lineage: Bacteria
Description: partial 16S ribosomal RNA
Rfam family: Bacterial small subunit ribosomal RNA
Source: RNAcentral
UACGGGGGGGGCCAGCGUUAAUCGGAUUUACUGGGCGUAAAGCGUGAGUAGGCGGCUCGCUAAGUCGAUUGUGAAAGCCCUGGGCUCAACCUGGGAAUUGCAGUCGAUACUGGUGAGCUAGAGUUCGGUAGAGGGUGACGGAAUUCCCGGUGUAGCGGUGAAAUGCGUAGAUAUCGGGAGGAACAUCGAUGGCGAAGGCAGCUCGCUGGGACGGUACUGACGCUGAGGCGCGAAAGCGUGGGGAGCAAACAGG